Molecule: long non-coding RNA, 2238 nt
Organism: Daphnia magna
Lineage: Eukaryota; Metazoa; Arthropoda; Branchiopoda; Diplostraca; Daphniidae
Exons: 10
Source: RefSeq, a predicted model, not a curated record
UGUUUAGACAUGUGCUGUCUGCUGUGGGUAGCAACUUACAUGUCCAGUACACAAAGCUUUCAUCCAUUUUAACGAUAUCCAGGAAAUUGUUCGCUGAUGUAAGACUAAAAAUUUAUUCGACUAAAUAGCAUUGUGGAGCACAUGCAGACAUUCUGAAUAGCACGGUAACUUCCGUAAGCACUCCUUGUAAAUUAACCGAAAUUUUCAGGUGACUUAAGACAACCAGAAUCAGGGAUGCUUGUUGCGAGACCUGUUUGUUCAAGAAAUUAAAAUGCCAUACUGUUAUUGGUUGAAACAAAGCAGGAAUUCCACCUGGAUUAGGUAACUGCUAUGUUUAAAAUGUUUUGCUUGAAAUCAAACAAGUGAAAGUUAUCUGGACUCAAGACUGGGAAAGAUUUACCUUGUCCAGCUACGGAAAUUUCACAUUGGACACAUGGAAAUUACAGUAAAUAGGCUGAAACUUGUAAAAAGUGCUGUAUUGGUUUCUUAGUGCAUUCGCGCUAACGUCACUUGUCUCUUCCCGCUUGAUUAACAGUUCCUGUCAGUAUAGGGCUAACCGAAAAUGACACUGAGAACAACUGAUUCGGUUGAGCGAAGCCGGGAACUUCCCCCUGGGCCAUGCCCGGGCUUCAUUUUUGGUCCAUAGACCGAGACGGAAGAACAGAGAGAGGCAGCUAUUCCUACAGCUGGCGUCUGGACGAGUUGGCCAGGAUCAUUGGAUCAUUGAAACUGCAUGAGAGCGGUCUGUCAGUUUAUCUUAUAAAGCAGACAGCCCGUUCUCACCCAGAACCCGCUGAUGACCUGACGGGGAGCGGUCCGCUCCUUUCUAAUGGAAAAGCAGUUUUCAAAUUCCAAUAAUGUUUGGCAUGAUUGAAAUCUUUUACUGGGAAUACUUCACCAUCUGCCUUAAGAUCAUUCUGUCUUGACAUUUUCCUUGAAGAUUCCUAGAAAAAUGGAUGGAUUUCCUUUUCCAAAUAAUACCCAUCAGUUGCAAUUAGUUUUGUAUAGACAAAAAUAACCGGCCAUGUCUGGCUAAGUGCAGCGGAUUGAGAUUCUCUAGUGAAAUUACUAACAUGAAUUCGCCAGUGGCCAACGCCGGUUUCGGAGGAGAAAAGAGGUUGGAGAAGAGAAAAGACAUAUCUACAUAGUAUGAAAUUGUCAAAGGCCAUAUUGUUGGUAAAAAUACUGAUCACCAUGGAGACUUCGGUAUUGUUGCCCCAGUAACUCAUCUGUGACCAACUCUGUUGAAAAUGGAUACGUCUUAAAUUAUGAAAUAAGCCGAAGUAGAACGCAGUCAAUGAUAGUUUAUUUCAUGGCAGACUUUUUAAAGCCAUAACGGACCACAGUAUUUAUUCGAUGCAGUACUAUAUCGUCAGCAGCAGUCAACAGACAUCAAAUUCAUAAUCCGUUAAGUUACUUGUUCUUGUUGAUCACUUACGGCAUUAGCUUGCUCAAUUGACUUUGGGUCGUAUCAAUCGUCCUACCAGCAAGCUCGGUAAGACAAAUAACUUUGAAGACGAACAACAAAGAAGAAAAGAAACGAAUGCAGUCGACUUUUUAAAACAUCCUGCAAAAUUUUGACAAAAUAAGGAACUUGCAGUUUAAUAGAACAUUUCUAUGGCUCUGUUUACCAACUGCCUUCCCGGGAAUUGUCGUGAUCUCAUACACAUUCAUAGGAAGAACGUCCAUUUAUAGAUGCUUCGUGGAAGUUUAUGAUGAAAAUGACACUACUCUUUCAAGUAAUGGCUCAGCGCUUGCUCCUUCAUGGCUGAAACAAACGAUUCCUUACAUAGAGAAAAGGAAAUAGCCCAAUGUUAUCUAUACAACAUAAUGUUGGCCAAUUUCAAACAGUGUGAUCUCAACCAGUCCAUCCAUGACACGUUCCUGAAAAAGUGCAGCCGUUGGGUUUAUGAUACCUGUGUAUUCCGUUCAACAAUCGUCAGUCAUUUCGACUUAACGUGCGUAAAUGAAUGGAAGCAAACUGUUGCCAGCAGCAUGUUUAUGUUGGGAAUGCUGAUCGGAGCAGUUAGGAUUGGUUACAUUGGGUAUCGGACGAAGGAAAACAUUAACAUAAGCCCGACUUUUUUUAAAUUUGGUAUUGGAAGAAACAUAAUCUGCUAUAACUAAAAUAAAACUCUGAUUAUAAAUAACAUACAAGUUUUUCCGCAAGCUAAGCGGUUUUUGAAUAAAAUGAAAUCAAAGUGGUUUAUCGCAACCACUUUGAAUUUAAACAACACA